Molecule: ribosomal RNA, 377 nt
Filed under: uncultured bacterium
Lineage: Bacteria
Description: bacterial SSU rRNA
Rfam family: Bacterial small subunit ribosomal RNA
Source: RNAcentral
UAAUACGGAGGGUGCAAGCGUUAAUCGGAAUUACUGGGCGUAAAGCGUACGCAGGCUGUCAAGUCAGUCAGAUGUGAAAGCCCCGGGCUUAACCUGGGAACUGCAUUUGAUACUGCUUGACUCGAAUCUGGUAGAGGGUAGUGGUAUUCCAUGUGUAGCGGUGAAAUGCGUAGAUAUGUGGAGGAACAUCAGUGGCGAAGGCGGCUACCUGGACCAAGAUUGACGCUGAGGUACGAAAGCGUGGGGAGCGAACAGGAUUAGAUACCCUGGUAGUCCACGCCGUAAACGAUGUCAACUAGUCGCUGGGUUCUUUAAUGGACUUAGUGACGCAGCUAACGCAGUAAGUUGACCGCCUGGGGAGUACGGCCGCAAGGCUA